Molecule: microRNA, 23 nt
Filed under: Schmidtea mediterranea
Lineage: Eukaryota; Metazoa; Platyhelminthes; Tricladida; Dugesiidae
Description: sme-miR-748-5p
Gene: sme-miR-748-5p
Source: miRBase by way of RNAcentral
UCCUUAUUAUAUUGCUGUCAAGU